GCCCGGUUAGCUCAGUCGGUAGAGCAUGAGACUCUUAAUCUCAGGGUCGUGGGUUUGAGCCCCACAUUGGGCU
This 73-nucleotide transfer RNA is filed under the name Gadus morhua (Atlantic cod). RNAcentral's name for it is "tRNA-Lys (CTT) (tRNA-Lys-CTT-5-1)". It matches the Rfam family "tRNA". Rfam says of the family: Transfer RNA (tRNA) molecules are approximately 80 nucleotides in length. Their secondary structure includes four short double-helical elements and three loops (D, anti-codon, and T loops). Lineage: Eukaryota; Metazoa; Chordata; Actinopteri; Gadiformes; Gadidae. The record is from Rfam by way of RNAcentral. RNAcentral also lists the same sequence under 1 other name.